UCUUGACGGUACCGACAGAAUAAGCACCGGCUAACUCUGUGCCAGCAGCCGCGGUAAUACAGAGGGUGCAAGCGUUAAUCGGAAUUACUGGGCGUAAAGCGCGCGUAGGUGGUUCGUUAAGUUGGAUGUGAAAUCCCCGGGCUCAACCUGGGAACUGCAUUCAAAACUGACGAGCUAGAGUAUGGUAUAGGGUGGU
Molecule: ribosomal RNA, 196 nt
Filed under: Thalassiosira rotula
Lineage: Eukaryota; Bacillariophyta; Thalassiosirophyceae; Thalassiosirales; Thalassiosiraceae
Description: partial Bacterial small subunit ribosomal RNA
Rfam family: Bacterial small subunit ribosomal RNA
Source: RNAcentral